GGGAGGACGAGGAGCCUGACGGAGGAGGACCUGGAGGAGCUCAAGGGCUGCCUCGACCUCGGGUUCGGGUUCGCCUACCACGAGAUCCCCGAGCUGUGCGGGACGCUCCCGGCGCUGGAGCUCUGCUACUCCAUGACGCGGAGGUUCCUCGACGAGCAGAGGGCGCCCGGGCAGGAGCCGGAGUCGCCCGCCACGCCGCCGCUCCCCAACUGGAGAAUCUCUGGCCCCGGUGAUGACCCAAAGGAAGUGAAG
Molecule: unclassified non-coding RNA, 252 nt
Filed under: Hevea brasiliensis (rubber tree)
Lineage: Eukaryota; Viridiplantae; Streptophyta; Magnoliopsida; Malpighiales; Euphorbiaceae
Source: RNAcentral